Molecule: ribosomal RNA, 208 nt
Filed under: uncultured bacterium
Lineage: Bacteria
Description: partial 16S ribosomal RNA
Rfam family: Bacterial small subunit ribosomal RNA
Source: RNAcentral
CACGUAGGCGGAUAUUUAAGUCAGGGGUGAAAUCCCAGAGCUCAACUCUGGAACUGCCUUUGAUACUGGGUACCUUGAGUAUGGAAGAGGUAAGUGGAAUUCCGAGUGUAGAGGUGAAAUUCGUAGAUAUUCGGAGGAACACCAGUGGCGAAGGCGGCUUACUGGUCCAUUACUGACGCUGAGGUGCGAAAGCGUGGGGAGCAAACAG